This 246-nucleotide unclassified non-coding RNA is filed under the name Astrothelium aeneum. RNAcentral's name for it is "partial contains 5.8S ribosomal RNA, internal transcribed spacer 2, and large subunit ribosomal RNA". Lineage: Eukaryota; Fungi; Ascomycota; Dothideomycetes; Trypetheliales; Trypetheliaceae. The record is from RNAcentral.
CGCACAUUGCGCUCUCCGGUAUUCCGGGGAGCAUGUCUGUUCGAGCGUCUUUUAAACACUCUCAAGCUCUGCUUGGCAUUGAGGAGCGUCCAUAAACCGACGCCCUCCAAAUUCGUUGGCGGCCCUGCUGAGCCCCAAGCGCAAUGAAACAUCUCGCUUGUAGUGGAUUUCAGUGGGUGCUUGCCCCCAACGACCUUUUAAUUUAUUCCAGACCUCGGAUCAGACAAGGGUACCCGCUGAACUUAA